CACACUGCCAAGAAAAGCUUCUAGUGAGAAAGUAACUGCCCGUACCGCAAACCGACACAGGUAGUUGAGGAGAGAAUCCUAAGGUGUGCGAGAGAACUCUCGUUAAGGAACUCGGCAAAAUGACCCCGUAACUUCGGGAGAAGGGGUGCUGACCGCAAGGUCAGCCGCAGUGAAUAGGCCCAAGCGACUGUUUAUCAAAAACACAGGUCUCUGCAAAAUCGAAAAAUGACGUAUAGGGGCUGACGCCUGCCCGGUGCUGGAAGGUUAAGAGGAGAGGUUAGCGCAAGCGAAGCUUUGAAUUGAAGCCCCAGUAAACGGCGGCCGUAACAAUAACGGUCCUAAGGUAGCGAAAUUCCUUGUCGGGUAAGUUCCGACCCGCACGAAAGGCGUAACGAUUUGGGCACUGUCUCAACGAGAGACUCGGUGAAAUUAUAGUACCAGUGAAGAUGCUGGUUACCCGCGACAGGACGGAAAGACCCCAUGGAGCUUUACUGCAGUUUGAUAUUGCGUGUUUGUAUCACAUGUACAGGAUAGGUAGGAGCCGAAGAUACCGGGACGCCAGUCUCGGAGGAGGCAACGGUGGGAUACUACCCUUGUGAUAUGACCACUCUAACCCGCUGCUCUUAGCGAGCAGGGAGACAGUGUCAGACGGGCAGUUUGACUGGGGCGGUCGCCUCCAAAAAUGUAACGGAGGCGCCUAAAGGUUCCCUCAGAAUGGUUGGAAAUCAUUCGUAGAGUGUAAAGGCAGAAGGGAGCUUGACUGCGAGACCUACAAGUCGAGCAGGGACGAAAGUCGGGCUUAGUGAUCCGGUGGUUCCGCAUGGAAGGGCCAUCGCUCAACGGAUAAAAGCUACCCUGGGGAUAACAGGCUUAUCUCCCCCAAGAGUUCACAUCGACGGGGAGGUUUGGCACCUCGAUGUCGGCUCAUCGCAUCCUGGGGCUGUAGUCGGUCCCAAGGGUUGGGCUGUUCGCCCAUUAAAGCGGUACGCGAGCUGGGUUCAGAACGUCGUGAGACAGUUCGGUCCCUAUCCGUCGCGGGCGUUGGAAAUUUGAGAGGAGCUGUCCUUAGUACGAGAGGACCGGGAUGGACGCACCGCUGGUGUACCAGUUGUUCUGCCAAGAGCAUCGCUGGGUAGCUAUGUGUAGACGGGAUAAACGCUGAAAGCAUCUAAGCGUGAAGCCCCCCUCAAGAUGAGAUUUCCCAUCACUUUAAGUGAGUAAGACCCCUGAGAGAUGAUCAGGUAGAUAGGUUGGGAGUGGAAGUACAGCGAUGUAUGGAGCGGACCAAUACUAAUCGGUCGAGGACUUAACCG
This 1313-nucleotide ribosomal RNA is filed under the name metagenome. Its description in RNAcentral is "bacterial LSU rRNA". It matches the Rfam family "Bacterial large subunit ribosomal RNA", at positions 1601 to 2925 of the family's 2925-position model. The record is from RNAcentral.